Molecule: ribosomal RNA, 465 nt
Filed under: uncultured bacterium
Lineage: Bacteria
Description: partial 16S ribosomal RNA
Rfam family: Bacterial small subunit ribosomal RNA
Source: RNAcentral
GACGAACGCUGGCGGCGUGCUUAACACAUGCAAGUCGAACGGAAAGGCCCUGCUUGCAGUGCACUAGAGUGGCGAACGGGCGUGUAACACGUGUGUGAUCCGCCCUGCACUUCGGGAUAAGUCUGGGAAUCUGGCUCUAACUCCGGAUGGGAGCCAUCUUUAGUGUGAUGGUUGGAAAGUUCUGGCGGUGUUGGAUGAGCUCGCGGCCUAUCAGCUUGUUGGUGGGGUAAUGGCCUACCAAGGCGGCGACGGGUAGCCGGCCUGAGAGGGUGGCCGGCCACAUUGGGACUGAGAUACGGCCCAGACUCCUACGGGAGGCAGCAGUGGGGAAUAUUGCACAAUGGGCGCAAGCCUGAUGCAGCGACGCCGCGUGGGGGAUGACGGCCUUCGGGUUGUAAACUCCUUUCGGUAGGGACGAAGCUUUUUGUGACGGUACCUAGAUAAGAAGCACCGGCUAACUACGUG